This 486-nucleotide ribosomal RNA is filed under the name uncultured bacterium. Its description in RNAcentral is "partial 16S ribosomal RNA". It matches the Rfam family "Bacterial small subunit ribosomal RNA", at positions 28 to 507 of the family's 1533-position model. The record is from RNAcentral.
GAUGAACGCUAGCGGCAGGCUUAACACAUGCAAGUCGAGGGGCAGCGCGGGAUAGCAAUAUCCUGGCGGCGACCGGCGGAAGGGUGCGUAACGCGUGAGCGACAUGCCCGUUGCCCGGGGACAACCGGUGGAAACGCCGACUAAUCCCCGAUGGGAUAUUGUGCCGCAUGGCACGAUAUUGAAAGUUACGGCGGCGACGGAUUGGCUCGCGUCCGAUUAGCUUGUUGGCGGGGUAACGGCCCACCAAGGCUGCGAUCGGUAGGGGUUCUGAGAGGAAGGCCCCCCACAAUGGGACUGAGACACGGCCCAUACUCCUACGGGAGGCAGCAGUGAGGAAUAUUGGACAAUGGGCGGAAGCCUGAACCAGCCAUGCCGCGUGCGGGAAGGAGGCCCUAUGGGCUGUGAACCGCUUUUGCCUGGGGGCAAUAAGGGCGUCGCGCACGUCCGAUGAGAGUACCAGGCGAAUAAGCAUCGGCUAACUCCGUG